RNAcentral lists this ribosomal RNA (1240 nucleotides) under metagenome. Its description in RNAcentral is "bacterial LSU rRNA". It matches the Rfam family "Bacterial large subunit ribosomal RNA", at positions 1564 to 2815 of the family's 2925-position model. The record is from RNAcentral.
UGAUGACGAGACGCUAAGGCGUUGAAGCAGUGUAUGUCAGACUUCCAAGAAAAGCUUGCACUGUCAAAGACAAAUAAUGCCUGUACCAUAACCGACACAGGUGGGUAGGUAGAGUAUACUAAGGGGCGCGAGAUAACUCUCUCUAAGGAACUCGGCAAAAUGACUCCGUAACUUCGGGAGAAGGAGUGCCUUAUUUAUAAGGUUGCAAUAACAAGAUCCAAGCAACUGUUUAUCAAAAACACAGGUCUCCGCUAAGUCGUAAGACGAUGUAUGGGGGCUGACGCCUGCCCAGUGCCAGAAGGUUAAAGAAGUUGGUUAGUGUAUGCGAAGCUGAUGACUGAAGCCCUGGUGAACGGCGGCCGUAACUAUAACGGUCCUAAGGUAGCGAAAUUCCUUGUCGGGUAAGUUCCGACCCGCACGAAAGGCGUAAUGAUUUGGAUACUGUCUCGGAGAGAGGCUCGGUGAAAUAGACUUGUCUGUGAAGAUGCGGACUACCUGCACCAGGACAGAAAGACCCUAUGAAGCUUUACUGUAACUUGAAAUUGGAAUUGGACUUUGCUUGCGCAGUAUAGGUGGGAAGCGUUGAAAAUAUUCUUGCGGGAGUAUUGGAGCUAUCAGUGAGAUACCACUCUUGUAAUGUUAGAUUUCUAACUUUGAACCAUAAUCUGGUCAAAGAACAGUUUCAGGUGGGCAGUUUGACUGGGGCGGUCGCCUCCCAAAUGGUAACGGAGGCGUACAAAGGUUUCCUCUGAACGGAUAGAAAUCGUAUCUAGAGUGUAAAGGCAUAAGGAAGCUUGACUGUGAGACCUACAAGUCGAGCAGGGACGAAAGUCGGUCUUAGUGAUCUGACGGUACUGAGUGGAAAGGCCGUCACUCAACGGAUAAAAGUUACUCUAGGAUAACAGGCUGAUCUCCCCCAAGAGUUCACAUCGACGGGGAGGUUUGGCACCUCGAUGUCGGCUCAUCGCAUCCUGGGGCGGUAGUACGUCCCAAGGGUUGGGCUGUUCGCCAUGAAAGCGGUACGCGAGCUGGGUUCAGAACGUCGUGAGACAGUUCGGUCCAUAUCCGGUGUAGGCGCUAGAAUAUUGAGAGGAGCCUUCUUUAGUACGAGAGGACCGAGAAGGACACACCGCUGGUGUACCAGUUAUCGUGCCAACGGUAAACGCUGGGUAGCUAUGUGUGGAGUGGAUAACCGCUGAAAGCAUCUAAGUGGGAAGCCCACCUCGAGAUGAGUAUUCUC